RNAcentral lists this ribosomal RNA (477 nucleotides) under Triticum aestivum (bread wheat). RNAcentral's name for it is "partial small subunit ribosomal RNA". Lineage: Eukaryota; Viridiplantae; Streptophyta; Magnoliopsida; Poales; Poaceae. The record is from RNAcentral.
AUGUACGCUACUAUUGCUGCAUCACCCUUUCCUCUUCAAGGAAAACCAACGCAAGCUCAAGACGUAGCAAGAAGGAUUUCUGGCGCCGUUGCCGGGGAGGUCUUCGCUCAAGUCAAGACAUACCAAGUACCCAUCACAAACUCAUCUCCCUCGCAUUUACAUUAUUUGCCAUUUGCCUCUCGUUUUCCUCUCCCCCACUUCACCCUUGCUGUUUUAUUCGCCCUCUCUUUCCCAAUCUUCUCCUCUCUUUUUCGCUUGCCUUUUUCUGUUCGCUUGUGUGUUGGAUUACUUGUUGCCAUGGCGCAAGAUAAUACCAAAUUGUGUGAUUUCUCCGAUACCAAUAAUAAUGAUUUCCUUAGUACUCCUAUUGCUCCUCUUAAUGAUGUUGAGUCUUGUGAAAUCAAUACUGCUUUGCUGAAUCUUGUUAUGAAAGAUCAAUUCGCCGGCUUCCUAGUGAAGAUGCCGCUACCCAUCUAA